Molecule: long non-coding RNA, 534 nt
Filed under: Ananas comosus (pineapple)
Lineage: Eukaryota; Viridiplantae; Streptophyta; Magnoliopsida; Poales; Bromeliaceae
Description: long non-coding RNA (ACOM_LNC004647)
Source: RNAcentral
AUAAGAAAAUCUAACUAGUAUUCAGAUUCAUGUUAUGUGUAAUAUUUUUAAUAAAUUAUUUUUAUGCUAAAUUACAGAAAACUCUCUUGUCAAAAUUUGAUUUUUUAUUUUCCCUCCUGUAAUUUAAAAACCUACACUUUGGCCUUUUAUAAAAUAAAAAAAGUUCACAGGGAGUACGGUGUGAACUGUGAUGAUUAAAUAACUAUUUUUUUCCUCACCAUUUUGCGGAGAGAAGACUGAAAGCAUUUUUGACAUAAAAAAAAUAUAUAAUAAUAUUUUAUAAACGGAACUCUAACGGAUUACUAACGGAAUGUGGCGAAGUGAAUAUUUUUCAUUUUACAAAAGGACAAAGUGAAAAUUUUGAUUUUGACAGAAAAAUUUUAUGUAAUUUAGCCUUACUUUUAAUACAUAUGGCAAAAAAAUUGAUUGUUGAAUUUGAUAGUUGAUAUUCAAUAUCACAAGUUCAAAAUUUAAUUUAUUUAGAGUAUUAUAUUUUUAUUAAUUAUAUAACCAUAUAAUUAUACAAUUUUAUAA